AGGAUGAUUAUUGGGCCUAAAGCAUCCGUAGCUCGUUUUGUAAGUUUUCGGUUAAAUCCAUGCGCUCAACGUAUGGGCUGCCGGGAAUACUGCAUAACUAGGAAGUGGGAGAGGUAGACGGUACUCGGUAGGAAGGGGUAAAAUCCUUUGAUCUAUUGAUGACCACCUGUGGCGAAGGCGGUCUACCAGAACACGUUCGACGGUGAGGGAUGAAAGCUGGGGGAGCAAACCGGAUUAGAUACCCGGGUAGUCCCAGCUGUAAACUAUGCAAACUCAGUGAUGCAUUGGCUUGUGGCCAAUGCAGUGCUGCAGGGAAGCCGUUAAGUUUGCCGCCUGGGAAGUACGUACGCAAGUAUGAAACUUAAAGGAAUUGGCGGGGGAGCACCACAAGGGGUGAAGCCUGCGGUUCAAUUGGAGUCAACGCCAGAAAUCUUACCCGGAGAGACAGCAGAAUGAAGGUCAAGCUGAAGACUUUACCAGACAAGCUGAGAGGUGGUGCAUGGCCGUCGCCAGCUCGUGCCGUGAGAUGUCCUGUUAAGUCAGGUAACGAGCGAGAUCCCUGCCUCUAGUUGCCACCAUUACUCUCAGGAGUAGUGGGGCGAAUUAGCGGGACCGCCGCAGUUAAUGCGGAGGAAGGAAGGGGCCACGGCAGGUCAGUAUGCCCCGAAACUCUGGGGCCACACGCGGGCUGCAAUGGUAGUGACAAUUGGUUCCGAAUCCGAAAGGAGGAGGUAAUCCUCAAACGCUACCACAGUUAUGACUGAGGGCUGCAACUCGCCCUCACGAAUAUGGAAUCCCUAGUAACUGCGUGUCAUUAUCGCGCGGUGAAUACGUCCCUGCUCCUUGCACACACCGCCCGUCGUUUCAUUGAAGUUUGCUUUUAGCGAGGUGACGUCUGAUUGGCGUUAUCGAACUUGAGGUAAGUGACAAGGGAAAAGUCGUAACAAGGUAACCAAGGGCGAAUUCCACAUUGGGCUGCAGCCCGGGGGAUCCACUAGUCUAG
Molecule: ribosomal RNA, 1003 nt
Filed under: uncultured Nitrososphaerota archaeon
Lineage: Archaea; Thermoproteati; Nitrososphaerota
Description: bacterial SSU rRNA
Rfam family: Archaeal small subunit ribosomal RNA
Source: RNAcentral